AAAUGGAUGAAAUAUGAAGUUUUAUUAAAAGAAAAAAGGGUGAAAAGAACAAAGUUUUGUCCAUCUUUGUUCAUCAUAGCUGAAAGUUAGAGAAGAGAAAGGAGAGGAGAAAGCUCUUGAGUAUUUGGUCAUUAGGAGGAGGAAAAUUGAAGGCGGUUCGUGUGUGGAUCUCGUCAGCAUAUCGUCACAAACAG
This is a long non-coding RNA of Gossypium arboreum, 194 nucleotides long. RefSeq lists it as uncharacterized. The record is from RefSeq and is a predicted model, not a curated record. The transcript has 2 exons. Lineage: Eukaryota; Viridiplantae; Streptophyta; Magnoliopsida; Malvales; Malvaceae.